CCCCAACGUGUUGAGUUCAGAACAGCUGAGUUCAGUUCAGAACAGCUCCCCUGUUCCUCUCAUUAAACUUUGGGACAUUGAAAGUGGCUAAAGGAAGUGCCUGAAUAGAGAAUAUUCAUAUAUGUCCUAGUCAACACCA
Small nucleolar RNA from Microtus ochrogaster (prairie vole), 139 nucleotides. Lineage: Eukaryota; Metazoa; Chordata; Mammalia; Rodentia; Cricetidae. The record is from Ensembl.